RNAcentral lists this ribosomal RNA (1024 nucleotides) under Rhodanobacter sp. Its description in RNAcentral is "bacterial SSU rRNA". It matches the Rfam family "Bacterial small subunit ribosomal RNA", at positions 434 to 1449 of the family's 1533-position model. Lineage: Bacteria; Pseudomonadati; Pseudomonadota; Gammaproteobacteria; Lysobacterales; Rhodanobacteraceae. The record is from RNAcentral.
UUUAUCGGGAGCGAAAUACUAUCGGUUAAUAACCGGUGGGGCUGACGGUACCCGAGGAAUAAGCACCGGCUAACUUCGUGCCAGCAGCCGCGGUAAUACGAAGGGUGCAAGCGUUAAUCGGAAUUACUGGGCGUAAAGGGUGCGUAGGCGGUUUGUUAAGUCUGUCGUGAAAUCCCCGGGCUCAACCUGGGAAUGGCGAUGGAUACUGGCAAGCUAGAGUGUGUCAGAGGAUGGUGGAAUUUCCGGUGUAGCGGUGAAAUGCGUAGAGAUCGGAAGGAACAUCAGUGGCGAAGGCGGCCAUCUGGGACAACACUGACGCUGAAGCACGAAAGCGUGGGGAGCAAACAGGAUUAGAUACCCUGGUAGUCCACGCCCUAAACGAUGCGAACUGGAUGUUGGUCUCAACUCGGAGAUCAGUGUCGAAGCUAACGCGUUAAGUUCGCCGCCUGGGGAGUACGGUCGCAAGACUGAAACUCAAAGGAAUUGACGGGGGCCCGCACAAGCGGUGGAGUAUGUGGUUUAAUUCGAUGCAACGCGAAGAACCUUACCUGGCCUUGACAUGUCUGGAAUCCUGCAGAGAUGCGGGAGUGCCUUCGGGAAUCAGAACACAGGUGCUGCAUGGCUGUCGUCAGCUCGUGUCGUGAGAUGUUGGGUUAAGUCCCGCAACGAGCGCAACCCUUGUCCUUAGUUGCCAGCACGUAAUGGUGGGAACUCUAAGGAGACUGCCGGUGACAAACCGGAGGAAGGUGGGGAUGACGUCAAGUCCUCAUGGCCCUUACGGCCAGGGCUACACACGUACUACAAUGGUCGGUACAGAGGGUUGCAAUACCGCGAGGUGGAGCCAAUCCCAGAAAGCCGAUCCCAGUCCGGAUCGGAGUCUGCAACUCGACUCCGUGAAGUCGGAAUCGCUAGUAAUCGCGGAUCAGCUAUGCCGCGGUGAAUACGUUCCCGGGCCUUGUACACACCGCCCGUCACACCAUGGGAGUGAGUUGCUCCAGAAGCCGUUAGUCUAACCGCAAGGGGG